This 905-nucleotide ribosomal RNA is filed under the name Hypocreales sp. SCG230909. RNAcentral's name for it is "SSU rRNA". It matches the Rfam family "Eukaryotic small subunit ribosomal RNA", at positions 63 to 978 of the family's 1831-position model. Lineage: Eukaryota; Fungi; Ascomycota; Sordariomycetes; Hypocreales. The record is from RNAcentral.
GUAUAAGCAAUUAUACGGCGAAACUGCGAAUGGCUCAUUAUAUAAGUUAUCGUUUAUUUGAUAGUACCUUACUACUUGGAUAACCGUGGUAAUUCUAGAGCUAAUACAUGCUAAAAACCCCGACUUCGGAAGGGGUGUAUUUAUUAGAUUAAAAACCAAUGCCCUUCGGGGCUCCUUGGUGAUUCAUGAUAACUUCUCGAAUCGCAUGGCCUUGCGCCGGCGAUGGUUCAUUCAAAUUUCUUCCCUAUCAACUUUCGAUGUUUGGGUAUUGGCCAAACAUGGUUGCAACGGGUAACGGAGGGUUAGGGCUCGACCCCGGAGAAGGAGCCUGAGAAACGGCUACUACAUCCAAGGAAGGCAGCAGGCGCGCAAAUUACCCAAUCCCGACUCGGGGAGGUAGUGACAAUAAAUACUGAUACAGGGCUCUUUAGGGUCUUGUAAUUGGAAUGAGUACAAUUUAAAUCCCUUAACGAGGAACAAUUGGAGGGCAAGUCUGGUGCCAGCAGCCGCGGUAAUUCCAGCUCCAAUAGCGUAUAUUAAAGUUGUUGUGGUUAAAAAGCUCGUAGUUGAACCUUGGCCUCGGCCGGCCGGUCCGCCUCACCGCGUGCACUGGCUCGGCCGGGGCUUUCCCUCUGUGGAACCCCAUGCCCUUCACUGGGCGUGGCGGGGAAACAGGACUUUUACUUUGAAAAAAUUAGAGUGCUUCAGGCAGGCCUAUGCUCGAAUACAUUAGCAUGGAAUAAUAAAAUAGGACGUGCGGUUCUAUUUUGUUGGUUUCUAGGACCGCCGUAAUGAUUAAUAGGGACAGUCGGGGGCAUCAGUAUUCAAUUGUCAGAGGUGAAAUUCUUGGAUUUAUUGAAGACUAACUACUGCGAAAGCAUUUGCCAAGGAUGUUUUCAUUAAUC